UACGGGGGGGGCAAGCGUUGUUCGGAAUUACUGGGCGUAAAGGGCUCGUAGGCGGCCAACUAAGUCAGACGUGAAAUCCCUCGGCUUAACCGGGGAACUGCAUCUGAUACUGGAUGGCUUGAGUUCGGGAGAGGGAGGCGGAAUUCCAGGUGUAGCGGUGAAAUGCGUAGAUAUCUGGAGGAACACCGGUGGCGAAGGCGGCAUCCUGGACCGACACUGACGCUGAGGAGCGAAAGCCAGGGGAGCAAACGGG
Molecule: ribosomal RNA, 253 nt
Filed under: uncultured bacterium
Lineage: Bacteria
Description: partial 16S ribosomal RNA
Rfam family: Bacterial small subunit ribosomal RNA
Source: RNAcentral